GACGUGAAAGAGUUAGAGCGAUCUGAAAACAAAGGUAUUUAUAUUUUUACAUACUUUUCGAUUUGUCUGGGACACUCUUUCUCUGUACACACGCACAUAUUCGAACAUACACGCGCGCUCUCGUACAUAUAUACGUAUAUAUAUACAUAUUUGUAUCUGUAUACAUAAAAUCUCCGUCGUUUAAGGCUGAUCAUGGUACUGUAGAAUGUUGUCUAUAAAUACAAGUCGCCUCUCUCCCUCACAUUGAUGUUAACACAAAAGAAGCCCAGCUAUCUUGGGAUGGAAAAGUUUUGUUGGAGAUGUUAGAAUACAAGUUAUGAUAACGAAAGUCCAAGAUUUCUGCAAUUUCUAUUCUUGCCAUUCCUUACAUAUCAAAAGGAACAUCCCAUAGAGCUUGCCAUGAUGUAUCUGUAUUAUUGUGAUUGACCCAGAACACGACAAACGCGACUCAAUGUAGUAAAGCUAGAUGAAAUGCUGCUCAGCAUUUCACUCGGCGUGCUAACGAUUCUACUUGUUCAUCGCCUCGUAUUCAUUAUAUAUUUAUCUAUUAUAUUCAACUGAAAGAAUAUUGAAUUACAAUAGUCACCAUAUAUCGUACUUAAUGUUAGUGUAACGUAGAAUAGAAAUUUACGGCGCUAGUUGUCAUAGGUAACAUAUAUAAUGGAUGUGUUGUGUAUAAAAUCACAAUAUAUGUAAUGAAAGGAGAUGAAACUUGUUUCAGCAGUGGUUAGUAAGAACACCAGAUGCAUUUCAGCCUCAUUGAACCAUAUCAAUGAUGUGUACAUACAGACAGUAACAUGCUUAGACAAUGCUUGUCGUCUCCGAUAUGAAGAAAAUGGUGCAUAAAUGUUCACUUGUACUUCGAUUAGUUGCCCGCCGGAAUGAUAACCCAUUAUAUGCAAUAGAAAUAAUAUUAAAUUAAAAUAACCCUCUAUGUAUCAUACUGUUACGGAACGGACUGGAAUCGCCCGUCGUCGCCCGUCCCGAACGGCUCGCACACUAGUUCCGCCACGGAACCCAAAGAGGCGGAGAGAGGAGAUACAGAUAGAUACUGCCACAACCUCAACAGCACAGAGAUACAGAGGCACAACCCGAGAUACAACCCAAAGAGGCAAGGCAACAACUGGCAACACUGGCUUAUAUUCAAACAACAGUUUAUACGGCAAUUACAAUGUUACAACAUCAAGAUACAUCAAAGCAUGCACGUGACUACUCAAUACAUAAUACAACAUCAUGUAACAAUAUAUCAGUCCGGAGACGCAACAAGUCAUAUACAGUAUUUCAAAAGUACACGUCCGAAGACACAGUUCUCUAAAGUCUCUUUUUCUAAACAUCACAAAUAACAAGUCCUUUACUCUUCUUCUUCACAAUGUCCUUUAUCGACCACAUCGACAGAGUCCUUGACUGUUCAAUACACAAAUCACAUACCUCAGUUCCUAAUUGAAUCUGCCAGUGUCCCAUUCCUCUCAAUACUGCUAAUUCCUCUGAAUACUGCUAAUUCCCUUCUGUGCCGCCAAGCUUUCUCGCAUCCAACUUGCUCCUAAGAAUUCCAACGCUUGUCCCUUAAAUCCAAGGUUCCAUCCACUCGCUCUGACCUCCAGAGUCCGUCCGUGUUCCUCGACGACCGCUCAACGACUGCCCAGAACCUCACUUCCUUGUCCUGACUUCCACUCCCUCAUCUCCCUCUGUCUAUAUCGCUCCUACCCUUUCUAACUGCUCUCUGAUUCCUUACUCUAUCUAUAUCGCCUCAAUCCCUUAGCCUCUCUAUCUGUCCCUUACUGCUUAUCCUUUCUAUUUGCCCUCUGCUCUUACUCUAUCGCUAUCGCCUGCCAGACUCUUAGCCUCUCCAUCCGUCCCUUACUGCUUAUACUCUAUCUCUAUUUGCUCUCAGCCCUUAAUCUGUCCCUUUUCUUUCACAUUCUCCUGACCCUCUUCUCAACCGCACGAGGUCACAGGUCAUUCCAAAACCCAUUAGUCCUCCAUUAGACAAAAGACUGUCACAUUUUCACCAGACAUACUGGAACCAUAUCCACGAUGUGGGUCACCAGAAACACUACACUAAUUAAACCCGAAAUGCACUUAGCCAACCGUAACAAUACAUAAUAUAAAUAUACAGUUGAAGGGAAAAUAACAGCGCUAUUCUUCCCACAAAUAGCAUGUAUUAUAUAAGUGUUGUGUUUGAAACACAACGUAUAUCGUAAAGAGACAAAAAUCAUAUGUGCAGUGUGUAGCAAGUACGCCAGAUUCGGGCGCCUAUACUUAUGCUAACGAAUAUUUAUUGCUUGUUUCCAGUAUAUCAUGUGCACAAAUCUCGUCUGCGUAUUUGACAGUCAGUGAGCAAAGGCCACUAAGGCCGAUACGUACGCAUGUAUGCAUGUAUGUAAGCAUGCAUGCGAUUAUGUAUGGAUGUAGGUUUUCAUGCCUCUCUCUAUUUAUUAAGUGACUGUUUUUACCGGUUCGAACCAAUUUAUAGUUAGGCAUCAUCGCACAACAUACUGAGGCACAUUAUAUUUGAUUACACCGUCAGAGGCCACGUUCACAAUGGGCAAUGGAGUGAACCAUAUAGUUAUUGUUCUUCUGCGUCACUUGUGGUGAUCGCCAACUUCUCACUCAUAUCUAUGAUUGGUAGUAAUACAUCAACACACAAACGCAAACACGCACACGCACAUACACUCAUACACACACAUACACUCACACACACACAAAAGGUAAAUAAAUAAAUAGAUGUAACUUUACACAGCAAAACAUAUUAUAUGUUCUACUAUGAUAUAUUGUGGCAUUAGAAGAUAAGCGAAAAUUAAUUAAAUUAUUUUGCCUCUAGACUCAUUCAAAUAUGUUCUUUCAAUAAUAUUCUUUUUCUUUCUUUCAGAAUUCCGCCAACAUUUUACCCAUUCGUAUCAUGGAAGGUCUGAAAUAUAUUUUAAUAAUUUCUCUAUUAAAAACUCUUGUCCAUGCAGAAGACCCGAUAAUUGAAACUACCAGCGGAAAGAUUAAUGGAUCAACAGUUGUAGUUCAGAAUGUUGAGCUUGAUGUAUUUCUUGGAAUACCAUUUGCGAAACCUCCUGUUGGUAAUCUAAGAUUUAGAAGACCUGAAAAAAUUGAACGGUGGAGUGGUAUAAAAGAAACGAAGGAACAUGUUGCGGCGUG
This 3147-nucleotide long non-coding RNA is filed under the name Octopus vulgaris (common octopus). The record is from RNAcentral. Lineage: Eukaryota; Metazoa; Mollusca; Cephalopoda; Octopoda; Octopodidae.